AUUCGUAAAUCGGUGACAUAAUUCUAUCGUUUCUUCCUUUUCACUUUCGCAACAAUCAAUUAUUUGGUUUUUUCUUUGUGCAUUUUAUUUUUUUUUUCGGCUCUUUUGUUACGACUAAUUCUCUAUUUAUCUCUUGCAUACAGGGUAGUUUUGUCUUUGAUGAGAGGCAACUUUUUUUAUGUAAUUGUUGGAGAACGGCAAAAAAACGGAAACAAGAAGGUGAAGAAAAAUUUAUACCUAUAUCAUACUUAUCACCGUCUGGGCUCUGUUAUAGGUAUAUCUACUUCAUAAUAUAUGAACCUGUCUCACCCCAACACUGCUGCACCUGGAUAUUUUGGGAUCACGCUAUAAACGAAUGAAUAAAGGCAUAAAUAAAUCAAUGAAUGAGAGAAUGAAUAAAUAAAUAAAUAAAUCGCUGUGGUUGUAGAAUAACAUCUUUUUCCCGUCUCAUCCCAAUAGAUUUUCGUGGCAUUCCCGCGACUCAUUGUCAGUCGAUGCUACCGAACCCCGACGCCCGGUAGCCGCGAGGAUCAAUAUUACCCCUCCCACCCCUUGCAAGGCUCUCACUCACCCUCUCCCUCUCUCUCUCUCUCUCUCUCUCUCUCUCUCUCUCUCUCUCUCUCUCUCUCUCUCUCUCUCUCUCUCUCUCUCUCUCUAUCUCUCUUUCAUAAAUUGUCGCCUCAUCGCCUCUUCGCCUUUUCAUCUUUCUGUUUUUUCGACGUUUUAUUAGCAUCCCAACCCCCUGUCACCAAUUUCUUCGGAAUUCUCGAGAGGAACCUGCGUUUUCACUGAAUUAAUAUGUGCCCGGUAGAUAAAAUAAACAAAUAAAUCGAUCGAUAAACUGAGGAAAUGAAAAAAAUCUGUAUCAUUGCAUACAACGAAUAGGAAACCGAAAUCGCACGUAGAAAUAACGUGUUAUCAAUUUCGAAUCUCGUGAAUUGAAAGAACGUCGAUCGAUCGAUCAAUUGAUACGCUAUGCAAACGUACGAGAUUUUUCUCUUCUUUUUCUUUCGAGUCGGUGACAAAUUCGUGUACAUGAUGCAGCGGCGAUAUCUGGUAUAUCAUAUACACGGUGUCGUUUUUCGCAGCAUCGCGUCUAGCUACUAUAUUAUUAUGUAACAGGGUGACGCUGCACCGUGACGAAUGUAAUGCGUGUUGCGUAUUAUUUUUAUAGGAUUCUUUUAAUCAAUAACAUAAUGGUCCUAUAGAACAUUGCUUAUCAUUUACUCGUUAUACAUAUUAUAUAACAUACAUAAUAUGCAUUAUAUAAUAUGUAUAUAAUACAUAUCAACUACAUACA
This 1300-nucleotide unclassified non-coding RNA is filed under the name Athalia rosae (coleseed sawfly). RNAcentral describes it as "misc RNA ENSAEAG00005000846.1". The record is from RNAcentral. Lineage: Eukaryota; Metazoa; Arthropoda; Insecta; Hymenoptera; Athaliidae.